This 301-nucleotide ribosomal RNA is filed under the name uncultured bacterium. RNAcentral describes it as "partial 16S ribosomal RNA". It matches the Rfam family "Bacterial small subunit ribosomal RNA", at positions 509 to 809 of the family's 1533-position model. The record is from RNAcentral.
CAGUAGCCGCGGUAAUACGUAGGUGGCAAGCGUUGUCCGGAUUUACUGGGCGUAAAGCGUGCGUAGGCGGCUUUUUAAGUCAGAUGUGAAAUCCCCGAGCUUAACUUGGGAAUUGCAUUCGAUACUGGGAAGCUAGAGUAUAGGAGAGGAUGGUAGAAUUCCAGGUGUAGCGGUGAAAUGCGUAGAGAUCUGGAGGAAUACCGAUGGCGAAGGCAGCCAUCUGGGAUAACACUGACGCUCAUGCACGAAAGCGUGGGGAGCAAACAGGAUUAGAGGCCCGAGUAGUCCCUGUCUCUUAUAU